CCCGUCUGCACCGAUCACGCCAGACCUUGGGUUCGCAGCGCCCGAUCUUGUUUCACAGGCGCUCCCAAAGCUCCGCUGGCACGCCAGCAUCGCCGCUGAAUCACCGACGUGCCUUAGUCAGCCUGCUUAAAAUGGCACAGCUCUGAAUUGUCUGGUCGCCUCCUCCAAACUGCAUCUGACCUUCUGCCAAUCCUGCUCGUGCGUUUCUAGCUACCGGCCUCAUCUCUGAAUUUGCAACCCCCUGCUCCUUGAGACAUCUAUGCUCCAAAGUCCAUACGACCGUCUGCGGCCCCUUCCUCUGAUGAGCCACUGUGCCAAGAGCAUUAGACCCUAAAACUAUUGAGACUCAUCAUGGAAGAUAUAAUUCCCACUCCCUCUUUUCAGGUCUUCGUCCAGGCUACUCUGUGAAAACAAGGCUGGAGUCUCUGUCCUUACUGCAGGGAAUGGCAGGGUGAGGAACUCCUAACUUGUCAAAUGGAAACUGUAAAACUGAUCGUUCAGCAGACAGAGAGCAGAAAUAACAGGACUCAGUUAACGGGGACUGAAAUAUUCAGCUUUCAUGACUACACAGGGAUACCACAAAAACGAUGAAGAAAACAAGGCUAUUUGGAAGUUGGAAAGCCGGGGACAGGUACUCUAUACCCAAAUAGAUUAGCUAAGGCAUGACUGACUAGAAUUACAUGUGCCUUUCUAAAUUACCCAUUUAGCAGCACUAGGGAUGUGAAGAGGGCAAGAGAGACCGACCACAUUGUUUUCUUUUGACUCUGAGGCAGACUGUUUGGACUGGAAGAGGAUCAGAACUUGCAACAAGCUCUUCACUCUUCUAAGAUUGAUCAGGUUACACACAAUGCAUCCAAAAGUGGCUUAGCCUCUCCUCACAUCAUAAAUAUGCUAUGGAAGGAAAGUGAGAAAAUACAUAGAGAAAUGACAAUAUUUGGAACUUUCCUCUCUUUCAAUUUUCUUCUUGGUGACCUCUAUUCACAUUCCUCCAUGAGCUAUCAUUUGAUUCCUCUCUUCCUCCAACUCUUCCUAUUAAGAAAUGUGAAAUGACCCACAGAAAUCUUUCAAAACAUAGAAACAGGGACACCAAGUCAGGGAACAUCAGUACAGCCCAGUCUCCCAUCUCUAACGGUGGGCAGCAGUAAAUGCCUAGAAAAGAACUUAGCAACAGAGCAAGUGCAUGAUAGUGUUCCCAGAAUAUCUAUCGAGCACACAGCAAUUUGUGGUUCAGAGGAUUCCUGAACCAGACAUGGUGAUUUUGCAUGUAAUAGCCCCCAAUGGAUUCAUCUUUCAUUAAGUUGUCUAGUCACUCUGGAACCCAUGCUAAUUUUACUCAUCUACAGCAUUUUGUGGUGAAGGGGGUCACAUCUUCAGCAUUCUGUUGUUGCUUAAGGUUCUUGGGUUUGAUAUUUGAAGGAGAUAUUUCAGGAAAUAUUUCAAGAACUGACAAACUAGGGUUGAUGAAUGGAGGAUGUGAUUCUCCUUCAGAAGAUCAGACAAAUGUAUCUCUACCUUUAAACAAACAAAAAAACCCACAGCUGAGCACAACGGUAGCAUAUGUUUGUACACAGUGAAAGUACUUGAGUCUGGUUUCAGGUGCAAGCCUUUUGUCAUGCACAGUUGAAUCCAUCAGAAAAGUUCUCAAGAAGUAAUCUAAACUUGGCUGCAUAGUGGAACUGUGCAGAUAUAUUGCUUUUUGAUAAGCAUGGAACUGAAUUUAUGCUGCAGUGUGGCUAGACAGACUCACUCCCAUGGAGUUUCAUAAGCAGCAUCUUCUGUUUUCCACCAUUCCUUCUUGCCAAAGAAGACAGUUCCCUGUGCAAUUCCUCAUAACGGUCAAAGGAAUUCACAACAGAAGCGUGAAUUCUAUUGCAUACUGAGAAAAAACAGAUCCUUUGUGCCUUAAGGUAAUGGAGCAUAUCUAAAAUAAUACAGCACAAGCAUUAAGCUCAGCAAGAAAAAUUCUGUUCUGUUACCACUAGCUUAUUGACAGAAAAUGAAGCUGAAAAAUUUGGCCAAGCAUACUUCUGUAGUUUCUUCACGCCUGGUUGUUGUGUUCAAACAAAGGCCUUCUCUUUUCCACACAAUAUAAAUGCUCCUUGUUCAAACCUAGAGUUCAUAACUUAAGAAUUUGUUCCUAGAGAAAUUGUUUUAUUGUUGUUACUAGUGCUACCGAGAAGAAGACAAAAAAAAAAAGUUUUACCAAAGCAUUUAGGAUUCUCUAUUAUAUUAAUACAGACAGAAAGAGGGGAAACCCUAAAGCAGUGAGAUGACUUUGGACAGCCUGGCCAGCAAUAGCCACUGCAGCCUGCUGGCAUGCCCAGUUUGACCUGACAUCAGCUGGGAAUUGCCACAGAGCGAGGUGCUGAGAUUUGGAGAGAAAGCCCUGGCAGAGAGGUGGAAGUCCAAGGUACCCACAAGGAUACGUCACCUGAUUUUGUGUAGGUGGAUGAGGUUACGUCGGGCCGAAGGUGGACAGGGAGAAGGGAAGACCAGGGAGAAUUUGCCCUCAGGAUCUGUACAGAAAGCUGGAAGAGGGAAAGGAAGACCUUCGAUAAAAAUGCUGGAAGAGGAGCUGGGAGGAGCAGAAAGAGAAAUUAGUAUGAUGGGAGACAUUCAGUAUGAUAUGACCCAGCACGGGACUAACUAGGAACAGAAAGUGGUUGGAGGGAAAUCCAAAAUCAUUUAUAAACUCCAAAAUGCCUUCUCUGAAGAUGUGGGUCAAGAAAUAUAAUAAUAAAUGAAAGGGUCAAAGACUCAUACUUUCGACUCUAGUAUGUGCAAGUAUCUUUCCCUACACAAAAGUCUGUCUUUCCAGUGUAUUGCUCUUUGCUGCAGUGGUGAAUAAAUUCUGCUUCUGGAGUUCAGGGGGGGUGAGAUCUGCUUUCUGCUUCCCUCUGAGGACACCAAGGGCCCAGAAGCCGUGGGACGGUGAACAGCAGUGGUGUAAGCAGGAGAGGGGACGGAGUGGCUCCGUAGAUUACUAUGGUCCAGCAAGCAGGAUUUUGCGGAGGAAGAGUGGGCAACUAGACCACAGGGCUGUCGUUCAGCUGACUGACUGCUUCUCAGCAAGGCAACGCCAGGUGGGAGCUGCAAGCAGCCACAGGGCCACAACCGUCCAGAGGGAGAACCAGAACAUCCCCGUCCCUGUUGAAGUCCACACGGAAAGGAGGAGAGAAAAUGCUUUCAACUGCCGCAGCCCCAAGCAUCUCACCUGGGCUCUUGCACCCUCAGUUCGAGCGGAUAAAGAUUUUGCCCUGAGGAACAGACGCAGGUUGUUCUUCAGCCACUACUGUGUCAUGCUGUGCUGUUUGCUGUAAACUUACAUUCAAAACAGAGCUGGACUUUUGAACUGGAGGCCCCUGGGGAGGCAGAGCUAUGUACCAUUACUAAAUUUAGAAGCUUCUGAAGUGGAAAAAUGGUAAAAUGUUUUGCAAAUAGCAAACUUUUCAGGAGGCAGUGCACAAGAGUGGUUCCACGCAGCCCGGCUGCUACGAACAGAUGAUUGGGAAACGGGCAACCAUUAAUCUGCUUCUGGAAAGACAUAUAGAUUCCUGAACUGUUCACAGAUGACUUCAGAUACAUCCAGAAUGAAAGGCCUGAUUUUUCUUCCUGGCUCCAGUCACACAGAGCGUUUCACACUGGCAUUUCUGCCUAGGAAUCGCUGUUCCCUGAGGAAGCAUUUGAACCCUCUGCAGAAACAGAUGAGUCUAUGUAAAAGCUGCCGCAUUUCCUUGCAGGAAGGGUGUUUUUGCCCUGUAUUUGGCACCUUUUUUUUUUUUUGAGAAGCUUCAUAGGUAUCAUCAAAAUUGAUUACUAUGUCAGAUAAUCACGGUAUUUAUGGCCUUUAUCACCUUCAGCUCAGUUCAGAGUAUUUAAUUAUACUUCAGGUAUAACUUACUUUUCUGUACAAUCUUCAAAGACAUUGUUCUGACGGCAACAUACAGCCACCUCCUCAAAUAAGUUAUUAUUUCUUAAUAUCAAGAUACAUAGUGUUAAGUAGGAUACCUUACUACUUUGUGUCUUGCUGUGGCUUGUUUACAAAGAUCUGUAAGAAAUCUGGCUUCAGAUUUCUCGACUUUUCUGCGAAAGCCCAUCCACUGCAUUGCAUCGCAACAUCUGCUUCAUGUAAGCUCCUUGAAGUUCAGUGGGACUCAGCAUAACGAGUAGCAGCUAGGGGUUAUCUUGGCUGGUGGGGGCAAGUGAACGUUCAUCUGCAGAACCCUGCUGACAAGCACUGCGGUCACUACAAGUGAUCUGUGUAUUUCCAUGGAUAUUCAAAACAGAGCAAAUUAAUUGGAUUAAGCGGUCACUCCUUCAACCACCACGAAAGGAAGUAGGGUGUUAGAGAUCCCAUCUGCAGCUCUUCAGGCAGAAAGCCGUGCGUGCAGGAGGCAGAACCGGGCAGCCCAAGGACCAGCUGGGAAGCUGGGACCAGCCGAGUCCCAGCACGGAGCUGCUGAAGCCACCUAAAAGCGACCUCUUCCCUUUGAACAAAGGGAAGGGAAAGAAGGUGCUGAAUAAACACCAGCCAAGCCAAGACCCAAGGAGCAGAGCCUAGCCAAAUGAGAGGUUAUCCUAUGCUAUAAAUGUAUUGAGGGCAUUCGGGAAAGCUUCUGUCACACAUGGGCAAAAGAUUUGCAGGAUGGCCACAACGGGCCACAUUGCCAAGUUGUCUUCUGGUCCAGAGGAAUCCUUUCAGCAGAUCGACAUCUCAGACUGAUCAUAGGGAAAACCUUGUGGACACAAUACAGAACAUGUGGAAUGGAGAAACCCAGAAGAAAUAUUAGAUUACUGUGACAGGACAGGAGAAAGAGAUAAAGUUUUCAUUACUUGAAAUCUACCAGCCAGUUUCUUGCACCCCUUUUGGCUAUCAAUAUAAAUCUGAAAAUUCCUGCUCUGCUCAAAAGAGCUGCUGGUUAAUAUGUAUGCAGUUUUCAUAUAGGACUUUUUCCUUAGCAUUGCUGAGUAUCUUUGAUUCUCAUGUUAAUACUUCAUCAGCCAGUAGGAGAGGAGCCAGCACCAUUUUACACUUGGUCCACAGGUUCCGGUGUGAGUAAAGAGUACUCAUCAUCUCCUACCAUUGCACCCAGUAAUUAUCUUUGGGGUAAUUAGCAUAUGUAUCCUGGAGAUCUCCAUCAAGACUCUUCUUUCUAUUGUGGACUGUAACUAUUAGGUUGGAUCUCUGGCUGCCAUGAACUGGCGUAGCACCCUUAAUUAAUAUCUUUUCCUCUCCCUCAGAGCUGGGAGGAAGCCUUAGGAAUAGAUGUUGUUAAGGGAUAUUCAAGGCAGCUGUGAGCUGAAGAUUUGAGUGUCUUAAAAUCUGAUUAUGCAUUCCUUGUGCACUCAGAGCUCUGUAAGUUUUAGCUUGGUCAUAAAUAUGAGAUCAGACCCUCGACUUGUUUAAAUGAAGGAAUAUGUGUUGCAUAGAAUGCAGGUAUCAUUAAACUGCUAAACUUUGCACUGACAGAAGCAUUUUUUUAGAGACUGAACAAACGAUUUUCAGACCUUAAAACCUCACAGCCAAUAUCUAUGAUGCAAAAGUGCUUGCUCUGCCAUCCUUCCCAUUUUAAUCAGUAUAAUUAUAAUGGAUUACUUUGUAUCAUUUAAACAAGUUCACAUAUCGUCAUCUUGCAACUAAAAUACCAGUGGCACUUCGUGGAUCUAUCACAGCUUGAGAACAGCUGAGGUUAUUAUUAUUAUUCCUCUUUC
Molecule: long non-coding RNA, 5712 nt
Organism: Aquila chrysaetos chrysaetos
Lineage: Eukaryota; Metazoa; Chordata; Aves; Accipitriformes; Accipitridae
Exons: 5
Source: RefSeq, a predicted model, not a curated record